GACCUGUAAAAGAAAUAGGAUGUAGACAGCAAGACAGCGAGUGUAAAUAUGGCACUAAUAAUAUCAGGUAGAAAAAAAUACUUUAUCAAUGUAAAACAGCGAGAGUAAAUACGGCUCUGAUAAUAUCAGGUAGAAAAAAAAAAUUGCUGGAACUGAAAAUACUUCAUCACUGUAAAACAUAGAAAUAUGUUCCAUUUACAGGUGUAACAUUUAGAUUGUUAGUGGUUUUAAAUCAGUCGAAGUCAUCACAUGGUGUUACAAUGAUACUCUAUAAUUGUGUUUAUGGGUACAAUGCAGAAAGCAAAGAAAAACAAAAUGUUAACGCUCACUCAGGAUUUGGUAACAACAAGCAGUGAUUUUUAAAUGUACAUACCUCCCUCUUUCCUUCUAAUUGACUGGUCAGAGAUAUCAAUCUGGAAAUGAGACAAUAACACCACAUUUACAACCACAAAAGUUUGAUGGCCACUGACUCCAACACAACACUUAUAUACAAAGGGUUUACACCUUUACUACAUCUCACAUCAGUCUCCACACCAAACCCCUCAACAGGUUUAUAAACACCUGACUAAUAUAAGGUGUUUAAAUCCUUACAAACAAGAUAAAUAUAGACUAUGGGGUAAUCUAUAAUAGCAUUUCAUGUAGGAAUAUGUAUAUUUUACUUCCUAAACAACAAAACUGAUAUUUUUACCAAUCAUUGAGAAUAAACAGAGGAAUUUACAAGAAACUUGAUUAGAACUUUGAGUACUAUGUAAAAAAGUUGAAAUCAGAUUGUUACAAUAUACUUGAAACCAAGGUGUUGAAGUCAGGACAGA
Long non-coding RNA from Pecten maximus, 812 nucleotides. RefSeq lists it as uncharacterized. The transcript is spliced from 2 exons. Lineage: Eukaryota; Metazoa; Mollusca; Bivalvia; Pectinida; Pectinidae. The record is from RefSeq and is a predicted model, not a curated record.